UUGGCCAUUGUCUCCUAGGUUUCUUAUAGUCUAGAAUAAAUCAUUUUUCAUUACAUUGACUUUUGACAGGCUGGACCAGAUGUCCUACCCUUUUGGAAUUGUCUAGUUAUUUAUUUGUAGUAUGACAUUUCUUUAUUUUAUUCCUGUAUGUACAUCAAACUUGAAGUUAGAUCUAAAGUGUCAGUCAAUUUAAGUGAAACAUUUUAUAUCUUAGGUAAUGUAUACUUCAUGUUGCAUCUUAUUAGAUGUUUUUAAAGCUUUAUAUAUAUAUAUAAGUUGAAUCUUGUUGACUUUCUCAAAAUCCUGAGGAAUCUGCAGUGCAUCAACAUCUCCACAGUAGGUACCAUAAAUGGUUAACAGUUUCUGUAAGGCAACUUUGCACUAGCCUAUUUUGAGCAUAGAACACAACUUUGAAGAUUAAAUCCCAUCCAGGGACUGAUUGGUAGAAGACAACUAGUCAGGGAACAUAGGAGGGAAAUACUUAAUUGCCAUAAAGUGGGUAGAUACCAGUCCACAAAUAAUUCUAAAUUAACUACGAAUAUGCUGUUUCAUGUUUGUAGACUCAUAGAUGUUUUGUGUUAUUAGUGGCUGUUCUGGAUUAUAAACUCCCAUGAGAGGUUAUUUUAAAAUCAGAAUUUUUAAUUUUUAAUAUUUAUCACUACUGCUUAUAUCCUCACUUUAACCUACCUAAUGCUGUUUCACUCAAAUGUCUUUUCUUUCUUCCCUGUAACAGUUGUGCAGAAGAUUCUGACCUUAUUUGAGGCUUACAUAUAGGUUUGGAGAUGUGGAAAGGAGUGGAAAAAGAAAUAUGUAAGCUGAAGUGCCAAACUCACACUGAAAUAAAGGGCAUGGCCUACCAGCUGACAAGGAGUGUCUGGUUUCAAGAUGGCAAAUGACCCUAAACAUGAUAGACAAAUACGUUUUACAUAGGUACAUGCACAGAUAGGCACAUAUAAAUCCACAUUUGCAAGCAAAAAGUGGAACCUGUAAAGCAGAAUUUCUGAGGAAUCUCUAAAAGACUAAUACUAUAUGGAAUUUGAAGAGGAAACCCAGAGCAGAAGCACAUAGUGAAGUACUGCCACAAAGAUGUGUGACGCCACUAAAGGUGCUCUAGACCCACAAGAAAGGAAAACUGGGAGCAGGACAACUAUCUGGAUAUUGACUGCACAUGCCAAUAUCUCAGUCAGACUAACAGAAUCAGAGCUUUAGGCAGAGAAAUGAAUGGUUGGAGAGAGAAGGCAAUGCCCAGGUGCCCUGCUUUGAAAUGUCCCGCCCAUCCCCAAAUUAGUCUGAAAAUUUCAAAUGUUGUAUAAAUUCCCUUCCCAUCAAAAGUGUCCCAUAAACAGCAGUGGUAGAAGAGUUUUAACUGAGUAUCACAGCUUCAAUGAUGAGUAUAGAAAACUCCAAAAAUCUGAAUACCAACACAAUCAAAAAAGAGGUACAAACCACAAGUGGAAGAACCAUCUCAAGAAAUAAUGAAGCAUUCAUGGAAUACAGAUUAGCAACUCUUUAAAACAGUAUUGCCAAGAGAAACAGGUGGCAUUGCAGUUGUCAGAUCUCAUUAAGGUCUUAUAUCUGAAACAGUUCCACUGUCUUCCAUAACUUUCAUAACUUUGAACAUUUUGGCUCAUAGGCGAAAGGGAAUUGCCUUAUUUCGAAUGAGACUUUGGACUGUGGACUUCUGAGUUGAUGCUGAAAUGAGUUAAGACUUUGGGGGACUGCUGGGAAGGCAUGAUUGGUUUUGAAAUGUGAGGACGUGAGAUUUGGGAGGGGUUGGGGUGGAAUGAUAUGGUUUGGCUGUGUCCUCACUCAAAUCUCAUCUUGAAUUCCCACAUGUUGUGGGAGGGAUCGGUGGGAGGUAAUUGACUCACGGGGCCAAGUCUUGCUGUUCUUGUGAUAGUGAAUAAGUCUCACAAGAUCUGAUGGUUUUAAAAAGAGGAGUUCCCCUGCACAAGUUCUCUCUCUUUGCCUACUGCCAUCUACGUUAAGACAUGACUUGCUCCUCCUUGCCUUCCACCAUGAUUGCAAGGUAUCCCCAGCCAUGUAGAACUGUAAGUCCAUUAAAUCCUUUUUCCUGUAUAAAUUACCCAGUUUCAGGUAUGUCUUUAUCAGCAGCAUGAAUAUGGACUAAUACAGAAAUUAAAAUGAUGCCUGACACAUAAUUGCUUAAUAAAUAUUAGCUAUUAUUAUUUGACAUUA
RNAcentral lists this long non-coding RNA (2199 nucleotides) under Homo sapiens (human). Its description in RNAcentral is "HSALNT0046568". Lineage: Eukaryota; Metazoa; Chordata; Mammalia; Primates; Hominidae. The record is from RNAcentral.